This is a long non-coding RNA of Hydra vulgaris (swiftwater hydra), 1638 nucleotides long. RefSeq lists it as uncharacterized. The record is from RefSeq and is a predicted model, not a curated record. Lineage: Eukaryota; Metazoa; Cnidaria; Hydrozoa; Anthoathecata; Hydridae.
UUCAGUUUGUUUUAUUUUGAUUGAAAAGUUAGAAAAAAAGAAUUUUUUUGAAUGAAAAAUGAAAAAAAGCUCCAACAUUUCAAUGUGUUUCUUUUUGUUAAUCGUAAUUACUCUUACCGUUAUAAAGACAACCUUUAUUUGUUUGAAUCAAAUGCAGAACAGACCAAAAUGCAGAACAGAUAUUAAUAAACUACGUGUUUGACAUUUUGCAAUGAAAGCUGUUACUAAAUACGUUGUUGCAAGCUGUUGCCCUGUGACAAUAAUGCUGCAUGGAUUCGGACUUUUUCUUUUAAUAAAAGCAAAAAAACUGGUAAUGGACUCUACUCAACGCACCAUUAUUUUUCAUCUCUGUGUGUCUGAACUUUGUUUAAAUAUAACACUUUUUACUUUAGCCUUGUUAGAUUUUACUUUUAUUAAAGCUCCUGUUUAUCUUUAUUACUUACUCAGAACAUUCGUAACCGCGUAUUAUUGUACAAACAUCUGGCUUACAUUUGAUCGUUUUUUGCACACACAAUUGACCAUCAAAUAUCCUGCGUAUUGGUCAAAUAAACACACUAAAAUUUCUGAGUUCUUUUUAUGGUUUUUCAGUUUUGGGUGUGGUUUUUUAGUUUUUAUUAAAUAUAAACAAGUAUUAGUGAUUAUAGAUCUUACAUUUGAUGCUAUAAUUUUGGUAUUUCCAACAUUUGUGUACGUGAAUGCAAUUUUGCUUUCAAGAAAAAUGAAAAACGGUAAAAAAAUCAAACGAAAAGGGGUUUUAUUAAUAAUGAUGAUAAUAUCGAGUAAUAUAGUUUUAAUUGUAAUACCGCACUUGAUUUUAUCUACAUAUCGGUUUUUAAAAAUGGAAAAAGAUAUCUCUGUUCUAUUAAAAGUAGUAAUGGAUUUGGUUUUAGUAUCAGGGUUUUGGAGCCAUGCCUUACUUUAUAUAUUGAUGUGUCCUAAUGUUUGUAAUACUUUAAAUAGAUUUCAUAUAAAAAAAUCUAUAUUGCAUAAGAAAAAAGAAUUUUCAGAGGCAAAACAAAUGAUUUUUCAAAAGCAAAAUUCUCCAAAGAUUUCACAGCAUUUCGAAAUCAAAAAAUCAAUUACUAAAAUCUGAAUUAAAAUAUUUAUUUUACCUUUUAACAAUGGUGAUAUAAAUUGCAAACGUACGAAAGAAAACAUUAAUUUUUUUGAAAAACAUUUUUAAGAACUUUAAACAUCAAGAUUAAAGAUAUAAAAAGUUAUUUAAUGCAAACAACAAACUUAGUGAUUUUAAAGCUAGAGUGAACUUUGGCGUUUUUAGACUAAUACUUGUUAUGUGUAUGUUUGACUUGUCUGUGUCUGUUUGAGUCUGUUUCAGGUCCUAAAAAUAUGACAUUAUGAAUUAUGUACCUAUUAAUUAUGACAAUCAUCUGGUCUAGAUAUUUAGGCAGCAAACUGCUUAAUGAUAACUACUUUUCCAAUAAACACAUGAGCAUCUUAUAAACGUCUAAAAAACGUUUUAGACAUUUAAAAGAUGUUCAUGUGUUCACGACCUAAAGUUUUGGUCAAUUAUCCGUUCAGAUUGAAAUCCAGAAUAACACAUUUAUUAGAAGUCGAGAUUCAAACGUUUAACCGACAAUUAAUAGAAUUAUAACUGAAGAUUUGAAAUGCAUGAUUCAA